GCUAGUUAUCCUGAAAAGCUAGUUUAAGCAUCUCCCAACAAUGCCUCUAAUAAGAUAACAAUGUAAAUAGAACACCAUUGUCAGGUAUAAUCAACUCGAUCGAGUUAGACAAACCUGAAGCUCGAGACCAGGUGCUUAAGUAGCAUCACCAUUGAGGUUCUUUAACAUUAACAUCUUCAAAAAGGAGCGACAAUCAAGCGUCGUCGUCACCGGAACCAAAGACACAAGGCUAGAGGCUAGCUUUUCAUCCUGAAAAGCUAGUUUAAGCAUCUUCGAACAAUGCCUCUAAGAAAAUAACAAUGUGAACAGAACGCCAUCAUCAGGUAUAAUCAACUCGAUCGAGUCAGACAAACCUGAAGCUCGAAACCAGGUGCUCAAGUUGCACCAGCAUCGAUGUCGCACAUGUGUUGUCACCAUCUCAUAGUCGUGUCCAGUAGUCGAUAUGUGCAUACGGUGGGACUAACUAAGCCUUGUCGGCACAUAUUGAUGGAUGGUAUGUUGUGCCAUCACGUCAUACAGUGCUCUUUAGUGCUAUGCCAGAUCAGUGUACGCAUG
Molecule: long non-coding RNA, 555 nt
Filed under: Hordeum vulgare
Lineage: Eukaryota; Viridiplantae; Streptophyta; Magnoliopsida; Poales; Poaceae
Description: long non-coding RNA (HVUL_LNC000381)
Source: RNAcentral